Molecule: ribosomal RNA, 253 nt
Filed under: uncultured bacterium
Lineage: Bacteria
Description: partial 16S ribosomal RNA
Rfam family: Bacterial small subunit ribosomal RNA
Source: RNAcentral
UACGGAGGGUGCAAGCGUUAUCCGGAUUCACUGGGUUUAAAGGGUGCGUAGGCGGGCAGGUAAGUCAGUGGUGAAAUCUCCGAGCUUAACUCGGAAACUGCCGUUGAUACUAUUUGUCUUGAAUAUUGUGGAGGUAAGCGGAAUAUGUCAUGUAGCGGUGAAAUGCUUAGAUAUGACUUAGAACACCAAUUGCGAAGGCAGCUUGCUAAACAAACAUUGACGCUGAGGCACGAAAGCGUGGGGAUCAAACAGG